UGUGUUUACCUCCACAUGCACAAGCACCACAGUGCAUGAUGAGGCCAGAGGACAACUUUCCAGAGUUGGGUUCCAGGGACUGAACUUGAUUUGUCAGGCUUGGCAGCAAGUGCCUUUUCCCACUGAGCAAUCUUUCUGGCCUAACAGGUUGCUUUUAUGGACAGAGAAGGACUUUAAAAAGUAUGCAAAAUGCAGAGUUUGUCACUAUCAAUUAUUUGUACAAUGAGACAAGAAGACAAAACAAUAGAAAAAAUAGCUGAUUAGUGAACACCAGAUUGCUUUAGGUCACUUCCUUUAAACAAGGAUGAAAACAGAGAGUUUCAUUAUCACUGUAGAAACUAACCUGACUGGGAAAUUUGCCUGCUCUCACUCACUUCUUACUGUUUACUGGGAAACCAGUUAACAGCUUAGUUUUCAUUUGAAGACAAGUAAUUUAGUUCAGGUGGAAGCAUUGAGAUUGUUCAGUCUCAUCUAUUGGGAUCCAGUACAGAAACUAAGUAAAAAAACAAUGGCCCCCUCUAAUACCUAUUUAACAAUACUAGUAGACAUUGUUAUUAUAUCUCGAUUUUGAGUACUAGAUCUUUUAUAAUUUGUUCCCACACUACAAUGUUUUGGCUCUAUUAAUGAAGCCAUUAAACAACAGAAUAUGAUUGCCAUUUUAUUUGUCUAGUCUAGAUCCACAUUCAAGACCCUUGACCUAUUGUAUGUGUGCUGUGCUGUGUGUGUGUGUGUGUGUGUGUGUGUGUGUGUGUGUGUGUUCACUUACAAAUCUCCAUCUCUUUAAAGUGCAGAGGGAGAGGAAGUGAAGAAAGAUGUUCUGAAGGUUCUGAAUUCUUCUCCAGGAAGGCUGGGCUGGUCCUGUCUUUUGGAGACUGUUCUCUGUUUCUCUUGCUCGUUUCUCUUCCUUCCCUCUCCUCUUCUUCAUCCCUUCUCUCUUAACACCCACCCACUCCCCUAUGCCGGUGGCCUUGCUAUGUAUUCCAGGCUUGCCUCAAAUUCAUAGUCCUCCUGUUCCAGCUUCCCUUGUGCUGGGGUUGCAGUCAUGCAUCAUCAUGUCAAGUGUCACAGAGGGGAUUGAUAGACUGAUUGACUGAUCUAAAGUACUGGGGAUUGAAUCCAGGGUCUCACCCAUGGUAGGAAGGUAUCUUUCCACUGAGCUAUUGUUUGAGCCCUUUUACCACACAGUUUAGGAAGUACUAACCUAAUAUCAUGGUACUUUUCUGCAGGCCUGAGAACUUCCUCAAUGUGCUUUUUUUUCGGGGGUGGGGUGGAGUAUGCCAUUUAGGCUAUAUAACACAGUGGUGAGUGGAUUCUGGUGGGUCAGUUUCUUAUCUGAAUCAUCAUAUUUUGGGGUGCCAUAUGGUUUGAGAAUAGAUAGCCACUCAACAUUAUACAAACAUUAUCAGACAGGGCCAUGUCACAGAAGUGCUCCAGUUGUUCCACAUUUAAUGUGGCCUUUGGUGACUCAGUGAUGGGAGAGACUGAGAGCAUUAGUGGCCAAGCUACUCUUGUUCAUGUACACUUACAGGCUCUAAGAGGGCUCUCCUAAGUAAUUCCCUCAACUGUGGUUCAUUAGCAGAUGCUAACAAUCCCCUUCUGGCCUUAAUUAAUUACCUUGCUUUGGAGUCAAAGAGGGGAAUGGUUGUCAAGAGUAUUAUUUGCUCAAUUACCCAAAAGCCAUAGAUAAUGUGUGGUAAUGGACUGGAAGAUGGAACACCAGCCUUGCUCCAGUCCCACAACUGUUAAACCUUGUUCUGCUCAUUAAGGCACAUGACAUCAUCCAUGAAAAGAGCUUACAUUUGAGGCAACCGUAAAUGGAGUCGGAGGUGAAAUCUCUCCGUUUACUUUGCAGCAGAAACACAGAAACUCUACACUGCUAAGAGCUUUCAGUUAUUUAAAGACAAAUUACUGAAAGGCCUCUCUGUCCUUCUCCACCUCUCCCUUUUGGUCAUUUUGUGGCUGUUUCACAGCCGACCUCACUCGCAGGCUGGUUAUUCCCUGUAUGGCAUGAUUAACGCUCUGCUCAGAGGCUCUCAUUGAUAACAUUAUAUUUAUGCCUGCUGUUAAAAAUCAUGUUCUAGUUGGUUAGGGCUUGUGCUAUAAAACAAACCCCCUUUUUCAUGUUUUAAGUAACAGACAUUGGUGAAAAUGUAGAUCUCAUCCUAUUUGAGAAAGUCAGAUCAUUGACGUCACAUAGAAACAAAGAAGCUUCAUGCCGUGAUGAGCUAAAGAUGGAAGGAAGCACAUCACAUGUGUUUGGCAUAUGUAUGGUUCCAAACAUAUAUGUAUGUGAUCAGUGUGCAUGCACUGUGUUUAAGUUCAGUGUAUGUGUGUGUGUGGUUUCUCUAUGUGGUAGUAUGUUUGGUAUUGUAUGUGCAUGUGUAUGUUUGGCAUGUAUGUACCAUAUUUAACUCUGUGGAUGGUUGCUAUGUGGUGCAAAUGUAUGGUAUAGAUUAUAUAUGUUAUGUGGUUGGUAUGCAUGUACCAUGUUUACCUCUGUGUGUGUGAGUUUGCUGUCUGUGGUGUACACGUGUGGUGUGGUACAUAUGUGUGUGUAAUGUGUAUGUAAUGUGCUUAACUCUGAGCCCAUGUGGGGGUAGGGUUUUAUUCAGAAAGUAUUUCCUGGGCUGUCUUGAAGGAUGAGUGCCUGAAGGAUUGUAAGAGUCAGGUCCCUUAGGCAGAAUAAACAGUACUCCAAUGUGCAGAGAGGGAACCAGUCUUGAUAAAGCUUAGUAUCCUGGGAGGUGGUGCUGUGCUAAGAGGUUCUGACCUGCUCACUAGUGACCUGUGUGUCCAUCUCAGGCCAAAUAAAUCAGACUUGAUGAGGGAACGUAGCUAGUUUUGUCUCAUCAGCAACAUGGAAAUUGACCUUUGGGGGUGAAUCACAGGAAAUUGUCCCUGGGCUUAUAUGUUCCCCAACACCCUCUGUGGUUUUCACUGAUUGCAGAGCUAACUAGGUAUGUACUUAAACCCCAGGGACUGAGACUUUGGCUCGUUUGCAUGGUCCAUGUGUUUCCUCAGACUCUGACUCCAGCUUGUUGACCCUGAAUCUGUUUCUUUUCUGCUGAAAAGAAUAUCUGCAGCCUUCUUUAAAAAAAUAACUGAGUUUCAGAACACUGCUCUGUGUAUAUAUACUUGUCUACCAUUCAUAACUGCCUUUUCAACCAAGACUGCCAUUUAGACCAAAAGCUCUCAGCGGCAACUGCAGGCUGCUAUCCUUCACCAGUUACAGCUUGGGAUAACCCUCCUUGAAUAUAAAAGGAUCAAUUUAGAACCUGUGAAAAUGUCUCCAGUUUUUGACUUUCUAUCCUUUAUUGAAUUAUUUGUAGCCCACAAAUGCUAUUCACAGCUUUAAAGAAAAAGAGAACACUAAAUAUGUUUUUGCUGUUUCCUUGCUAAUGUCUGAUUCCUGUAGCUCACCCGUGUGUGCUAAUCAAAUUAUGUUGACACCAUCUCCUUUCAAAAAAAAGAAAAAGAACUAUCACCAGCAGCCCCCUGCUACCUCACCCCUGCUAUUCUCACCCCCUGCUAUCUCCACCUCUGCUACCCCCACCCCUGCUACCCUCACCCCUAUUGUCCCUACUCCCUGCUACCCCCACCUCUGCUACCCCCACACCCUGCUACCCUCACCCCUAUUAUCCCUACUCCCUGCUACCAUCGCCCCCUGCUACUCUCACCCCUGCUAUCCCUAUUCCCUUUUAUCACCACCUCUUGCUACUCUCACCCCCACCCCAUAUCCCUACCCCAUUAUCCCUACUCCUUGCCCCUACCCUCAUCCCCUGCUCUCCCCACCCCCUGCUGGGGGAGAAUGAGUGUUGAUACACCAGCUAAGCAUUAGGACACUGUCAGCCUGGAAUACUUGCUUGGGGCUUCCUCAUUCUGAGCUAUAAUGAAAACAGACAGAAUUCUCAGCCUCAGUCAGCAUUUGUCAUCUAAGAACCUUGACUAUUUAUUGUGAGGUAAUGUUGUCCAAUGGUUGACAGAUUUCAUUUUAGCACUAGGUUCAGUUUUGCUGGCAUCGCCCUUACCAAUGGGGGCAUACAGUACAUCAUUGCUCAGGUAAAUUUCUAUACCUGAGAUUUGCAAAAUGAUCAGGACUCUGAGAGGGAGGAUUGGAAAUGCCUUACCCACCACAAAGAGUGCUCAGGAAACAGGUUGUUAGUUUUUAACUAUAUGAAUAUAGAAAGAAAACCCCGACUCCACCCUCCACUUCUCAAUAUGGAUCAAACCCUGGAUCCCCUAACUCCUAAGCAAGUGCCACACCACUGAGCUACACCCAGAGCCCUCUCUCUCAUUUGUUAUCCUAUUGGUUAGAGGUUUGUCCCAGUUUUAAAGGAAUUCAGUUCAGAAUUGUAAUGGCCAGUCUCCAGAAUGGCCGGCACUACUUCACAGGAUCUCAUCCCUUGUCACAUUUCACAGGAUUUGGCUGUCACCAACAGGGUUGUUACAAGCUAAACAUUUGUGUCCCAUCCAUAUCUAAAGUCCUAACCUCCAAUGUGAUGAUCUUAGGAUGGGCCUUUGGGGGUACCUAGGUCUGAGUAAGGUCAUGACGGUGGAGCCCACAUGGGCUUGGUGCCUUUAUAAGAAGAUGGCAAUGCAAUAGAGCUUCCUAAUUCUCCCACAUGAGGACACAACCAGGAAGAGAACCCUCACCAAAGACCAAAUCAGCCAGUAUCAUGAUCUUGGCCUUCCCAGCCUUCAGAUCUAUAGAAAUAAAUGUCUGUUUUUCAAGUCACCUGGUCUACAUUGAGCUAAAACUCACAGAGCUGAGACCUCUCAACAUGUCACCAGACACUCUGCGGCAUCCACUUUGCCCCCCACCCCCCAGGACUGUGAUGAUUGCCAGCCGGCUUACCAUAAAGAGACUUACACAGCAGAGGCCUAAGUGCAGGAGCCGGGGCUUUCCAACAGCCCUCUCCAUGUAAGCAAAUCCUCAGAGAAAAAUGUCUUCUAGUCUCAAGGUCAGGACCUGAAAUCCAAAUGGCAUGUUGAGCUCUCAGCUGCAACUUUCUGAGACAUGAAUUCCUGGUCCAUGCUGUAAAAGAAAGUUAAUGUUUACUGUUGUUUUGAGCUGCUAAGCUUGGGGGUAAUUUCUAGUAAACUUUAAAAAAAAUUCAAAUAUAAUUGAAAAUAAAUUUCCUAAUGGGAAUGACUAAGGAAUCUGCACAUACUUGACUCCUCAGACUUCAAAUGAAAUUGCCCUACAAUGACUUUUGGCAUUAUUCCUGGACAAGUCAUAGGACACAGCUCUUGGACCAAGCUGCCAUGUGCAGUCUACAGGUCACAAUGGUCCCAGAUCACACUAGUAUUUUUAAGUGUUUACUGUUCAACAUUGAAAAAAUUGAAUUCAUUCAAAGUAAGUUUAUGGUAACUAUUCUUUUGAUAAUAGAAUAUGGUAACAUUGGGCCUGCCAUAUAUGAUGAAAACAGAAGACAGUGGCAGCUUCCCAUAUGGUCUCCAGUUUGCAUGGACUCCACUACCCCAUUUAACUCACCCGUUUCCUACUUGGGGACUUCAGGGAGCUUGUUCAUCACCAUUGCACUGUAAGCAGCUAAGAGAGACAGUCUUAAUAUCCCUGGUAACACUGACUGGCUUAUUCCCUGCCAUACAGUAAGCCCUAAAAUGGAUUCAUUCAUUUGUAGAUGUUUAUUACUGGCCAUUUUGCUUUGAGAACUUUUAUAGUUUUAUACCUAUUUCUCAAAAUUAGUUGUACUAAAAGUAUAAUUACUAGACCUCAUUUACAACUGCUAUUGCAACUGGCUACCUCUCAGAAAUGUGCCUGUAAGUCCCCUUUGAAUUUCUGUGUGCUCUCUCAGCUCUUAAAAUUACUAAUAUCUCUGUUUCGAAGUCAUUGUACAUUUAGACUAUGGCAGAUGUGUGUGCUUGUGGGUAUUCACAUGCUGAAGAUUAAACCUAAGGUCUUAUGCAUACUAUGAUUACACUAUACCACUGAGCUAUACACCUCAGCCUCCAUGCCUUUUUUAAAAAAAAUCUAUUUCCUACAUCUUCCCUUUGAAAGGCCCUGGAAUUGUAGAGCUUCAGUUGUAGUUACUAAACAUUAUUUUACAAUAACAGGGAAAGAUAUAUUUGGGAGAAAUGACUGACUCAAAGUCUAAAAUCAAAGAUGUACAUGAGCUUAGUUAUACUAGAAAACAAGGCAACGGUGCAAGAUUGUUUUUUGGGGGUAGUACAUGUCUGUAUUUCCCCAAGGUUAUAGGUGGAAACUUCAAUCUCGGUGUGGUGAAAUUUGAAGGUGGCACUUUGGGAAGUAACUAGGUCAUGAAUGUGAGACUUUUGUUUGUUUGUUUGUUUUUCGAGACAGGGUUUCUCUGUGUAGCUUUGGAGCCUAUCCUGGCACUCGCUCUGGAGACCAGGCUGGCCUUGAACUCACAGAGAUCCGCCUGCCUCUGCCUCCCAAGUGCUGGGAUUAAAGGCAUGCACCACCAACGCCCAGCCGAAGGUGAGACAUUUUAUGAGUGGUUAAUGUCUUUACAGAACAAGGCAGAGACUAGAACUAUUUCUCUCUCCUCCUCAUAUGUCAGAAUAGUAUCUGUCAGGAAAGAAGCUCUCUACAGGGACUGAGUCACCCAGCACACUGAUUUUCAGAACUUUAUGUGUCUGCAGCUUAAGUCAUCCAGGUUAUGGAAAAGUCAUUCAUUGCUUAAUGACUAAGAUCCAUUCUGAGAAAUGCAUCAUUUAGUGAUCUCUUCAUUGCAUGUACAUGAUCAAGUGUACUUGCACGCAUGAGUGGCAUAGCAUCUGUUUUGCUGGCACAGGAGGGCAUGACAGAGAAGUUGUGUCACACAUGAUCAUUUGAUGUAAUGUGUUGGCAGUGUAUGUGUCCUAGUAAGAUAUGUGUGCCCUGGCCUCUUGCUAUGCUGGAUCACAAUGGCUUCAAUGCUGUCCACCAAGCAAGAUUAUUUUCUCGUUUUUCAAAUUUUUGAAAUAUGAAGUUAACUUGCCUUAUAGAGAAAAGGCCUUUCAAACAUGUGUCUCUGUGAGAGUAGGAUUUUGUCUAGAACAGUGGUUUUCAACCUUCCUAAUGCUCCAACACUUUAAUACAGUUCCUCAUGUUGUGGUGCCCUUCAACCAUAAAAUUAUUUCAUUGCUGCUUAAUAACUGUAAGUUUGCUACUAUUGUGAAUCAUAAUGUAAACAACUGUAUUUUCCAAUGGUUGUAGGUGAUCCCUGUGAGUCACUCAACCCUCAAAGGGGUCAUGAUCCACAGGUUGAGAAUUGCUGGUCUAGAGAGAAAAUUUGCCUGAGAAGUAACUUUUCUCCUCCAUCUGCUUAUCUAGAGCCUACAAUCCUCUACCUUCACAUCAGCACUUGCUUGCACACAGCUCACUUUAUUAUAUCAUAGAUAAUGAUUCUUGGGUCUUUAAAACUACCCAGACUUAGUACUAAGUUUACCACAAAAAAUAGGUCCAGACUUUUCUUUCAGCAUUAUAAACAAGCUGGAAGAGAUAUGAUCUCAAUUAGAUCAUCACCAGUUUCUCCAUACAUUUUACAGGACCUUUUGAAUUUUCGUUUGUUCCUUUAACAGGUUUUUGGAGUUUUGUUCGUGUUCUUCAAAACUGUGGGUAUGGUGUGGUAGGACAUGUCUGACUGUAUUAGGCGUGUGUUUUCUACACACAGAAGUCAUCAAGAACAAAAGGCACAAGGUUAAAUCAAGGACAAGAGUAAAUGAUACAAUCCAGAGCUGUGGUGAAAGCACCAGCAGCCUGAAGUAAGGGCAGCACUGAAUUGAGUUGGUACUAGAUGUCACCUGGGGCUUCAUGAGUAAGAAAUGGAAACUAUAAAGCCUGUUUGAACUAUGACGUUGAACUGUAUAAUUUCUCGAUUAGCCAAGCUGUGCCUAACGUUUGGCUGUGGGUCUCUGCAUCUGCUCUAAUCAUUUGUUGGAUAAGGCCUCUAUGAUGACGAUUAUGCUAGGCUCCUGUCUAAGAGUAUAGCAGACAUCAUUAGGAAUCAUUUCAUUUGACUUUUUCUCUCGUUUGGUUAGUUCUAUCCUAGGUCUCUGGGAUAUCCAGUUUCUGGUUUGUGGAUAGGUAUGCCACAUGGGUCUCAAUCUGGACAAGUCAUUGGUUGGCUACUCCCACAAGUUCUAUGCUACCUUUACCCCAGAACAUCUUAAAGACAGGGCAAAUUGUAGGUUGAGGGUUUUGUAGCUGGGUUGGUGUCCUCAUCCCUCCUCUGAAAAUCUUACCUGGUUACAGAAGAUGACCAGUUCAGGCUCCGUAUCCCCUGCUAUAGGAGUCUCCACUGGGGUCACCCCGUAGAUUCCUGAGAGUUUCCAUUUUACUAGGUUUCUACCUCACCCUCAAAAUACUCCCCAAUUCCAGUCAUGUCACAGUAGUCUCUCCCUCCAUUCCCCCAAAUCUGAUCGCUCCUGAAAUUAUAAUCUAUGACAAGAGUUCAGUGUCCUGUAAUUCUUGCAUGCAUGCUGCAUUGAUCUUCCCAUCUAGAAAGUAUAAUGUCUCAGGCUUCUAAUAUUGGCUAACUGAAUCAUCACAAUUCCUAGAAGAGACACUGGCAGUAUUCUAAAGGGGAUUCCAAAAGGCCAUGGCAAGAUAUUCUGAGGGGUAAGCAAUGGUAAGGAUGUAGGAAGGUACUUAAAUAGAGACUGCACUGUGAGGAAACUGCAAAGAAUUGUUAAUGAACUAGGCAUUUGGAUGAAUGCAGCAAGAGGCCUCUUCCUUGCCUCUGCCUGUGAAGCAUAAAUACAAUACCUUAAUAAUCGAAUGGCUUCAUGAUUGUUCCCAAUUUU
Cricetulus griseus (Chinese hamster) is the source of this 8769-nucleotide non-coding RNA. Lineage: Eukaryota; Metazoa; Chordata; Mammalia; Rodentia; Cricetidae. The record is from RefSeq and is a predicted model, not a curated record.